GGGCAAUCUGCCCUGCACUCUGGGACAAGCCCUGGAAACGGGGUCUAAUACCGGAUAUUGAUCUUCACGGGCAUCUGUGAGGUUCGAAAGCUCCGGCGGUGCAGGAUGAGCCCGCGGCCUAUCAGCUUGUUGGUGAGGUAAUGGCUCACCAAGGCGACGACGGGUAGCCGGCCUGAGAGGGCGACCGGCCACACUGGGACUGAGACACGGCCCAGACUCCUACGGGAGGCAGCAGUGGGGAAUAUUGCACAAUGGGCGAAAGCCUGAUGCAGCGACGCCGCGUGAGGGAUGACGGCCUUCGGGUUGUAAACCUCUUUCAGCAGGGAAGAAGCGAAAGUGACGGUACCUGCAGAAGAAGCGCCGGCUAACUACGUGCCAGCAGCCGCGGUAAUACGUAGGGCGCAAGCGUUGUCCGGAAUUAUUGGGCGUAAAGAGCUCGUAGGCGGCUUGUCACGUCGGUUGUGAAAGCCCGGGGCUUAACCCCGGGUCUGCAGUCGAU
Molecule: ribosomal RNA, 499 nt
Filed under: Streptomyces olivaceus
Lineage: Bacteria; Bacillati; Actinomycetota; Actinomycetes; Kitasatosporales; Streptomycetaceae
Description: bacterial SSU rRNA
Rfam family: Bacterial small subunit ribosomal RNA
Source: RNAcentral